Oreochromis aureus is the source of this 119-nucleotide ribosomal RNA. Lineage: Eukaryota; Metazoa; Chordata; Actinopteri; Cichliformes; Cichlidae. The record is from Ensembl.
GCUUACGGCCAUACCACCCUGAGCACGCCCGAUUUCGUCUGAUCUCGGAAGCUAAGCAGGGUUGGCCUUGGUUAGUACUUGGAUGGUAGGCUGCAUGGGAAUACCAAGUGCUGUAAGCU